This is a long non-coding RNA of Seriola aureovittata, 2675 nucleotides long. RefSeq lists it as uncharacterized. Lineage: Eukaryota; Metazoa; Chordata; Actinopteri; Carangiformes; Carangidae. The record is from RefSeq and is a predicted model, not a curated record. The transcript has 3 exons.
ACACCUCUGCCAACGCCAUCCUCCACCCGCUGUGACGGAUACUCGUAACUCCACCUCAGCCUGGGAUCUGGUUUGAAGGAACAAAGUGAGGAGUUCUCCAGUUUUGGAAGGAAAACGUUCUUCGUGCAGGAUUGUUAAGACUGAAGAUGUCUUUAAAGAGGCGGCUGCUGUCCAUGUUGUUGUGCUGUGUUUACUGUGUGGCCUCGCUCUUCUGCCUCCACCCGAACCGCAACAACUGCUUCUCUGUCGGAGCUCGGAAUCUGGUGUCAGUCGUCCAGCAGCUUUACCAGCGAGUCAUCCGGCUGCUGCGCACCACUCUGUGAUCUUGUGUUUGAACCAAUAACCUAACCCUGACCCUGACCCUGUCCUGUCGCUGCUGCGGUGGCUCUGGCUGCUGCGGCUGUCGUCAAGUAUGCCCUCCAGCAGAGCACUGACAAUUAAAAAGAAAAACAAGAAACAGAGGAAGAAAGAUGGUGUUGCUCUACUCUUGGACUGUAACUCAAUAUUACCUGAAGUCACCUGCCCUGAUCUGCUCACUACUGCAUUUCUCUGACUGUAUUUUAGCUGAGGAAGAGGAGAGUGUCUAAAAAUGUCUAUUUUUCUACUGAUGAAUAUUAACAUUAUGGAUAUUUGCUGCAUGAGCUGCAGGUGAGGUGGAGAGGGCAUCAACUGUCCUCUUUUAAAUGCAUUUUGAGGGUUCACUGGGAGCUUGGCUGCUCUGCUGUUAACUGCACAUGCUGAAGAAUGUAGCUUGAAGAAAUAUCUGUGUCACUGGGAGGAUACUGGUUGAAAUUCCCGGACUGGCUAAAAGAAUCUGUCAUAUGUGAAGGAGCAAAGUGUGAGUACGCAGUUCAGAGUGAAGCUUAAAAUUAAACAUAUUAAAUGUCCUCACAGGUCCAAAAUUUGGGAAAACUCUUAAUUAAGAAAAGAUCUGAGAGGAGACCAGAUCCAAAGGUGACCCGAGGACGGUCAUAAUCAGAUCUGAUUCAAAAUGUGGUCGACCUGAACAGAACCAAAUUGAGAGAGAGCUCUAGCAGCAGUAAGAUGCUCCACCAAUUACGGAGGAGCCACAGUCAAAAAAAGUAGAAAUACUGCAAAGCACAUCUGCAAGGAUCCACUUGGGUAUGUGACAUAUUAACACAAGAUCCAUACCCAUACAACAGCACCCUACCUACACCCUGUUAGACUGAAUACUAGUUGGACCUCGCUCCAAUACUAGGACCUGUGAGGGCGUAUACUCACAAAUACAGAUACUCCAUUACAACACAUGGCUUGUGCUUUGCAAAUAUGUGGAACAGCUGUAAGUGAAACAUAAGCAUCAGACAAGACAGCUUCCAUUUAAAGUUGCCAUAAUGCCCUCCACUGUAAAUGUACUGGUGAAAUUUGAAUUUGCCUAGCUAGAGACAUUCUCUGUAAAGCUUCCUGUAUAACAAGGCUGCACAUGCAAAUGACAAAUUAGGUAAACGUGUGCAACGUUAGGCAACUAAAACUUCUUUGAGGGUUCGUUGACCCAAUUUACAUCCAGUAUUUUCUUACUUACUUACAGUGGUUGCACGCUGAUGCUGUUGUUUUGGAUUUAGUUAUGCAGGUUUCAAGAUAUCUCUGAGAUUUGUGCCUCCAUGCCGAUACAAUGGAGGUAAAUGGAAUUUAGUUUGUAAGUCUCAAAGCAAUGAAAAAUUACAUUUAAAAAAAUCCAGCAGCAAAAUGUCUAUCCAAACUCAACACACAAUACACAAAAUACUCUGGAUAAUCCACAGAAAACAGUAGUUUUUGUAGGGACUAUUUCUUUGGAAGAAGACAGCCUGAGCCUACAAUGACGUUGCUCGUCAGGAAAACAUAAAAAAAUAGGUUGUUUCGAGCUGUUUGAAAAAAACUGCUGAUGUUUUGCUUUGAUGAAGACAGGCUCUAAUCCUUUGCAUAGAUGUUUAAAAAGAUGAACGGUGCAGGAAACAUGUUUGGUCACAUCAGAUGAGAGAUAGGUUAAAAAGCUGCCGAUUUGAAUUUGUUUUGCUGCAAAACUGAGAAAGGGGAAGUGAAUGAGUAAAAGCAGAUUCAAGUAAAGUUAAAAGUAUGACAUCUGAACUUCCUGUAUAAUUUUAAGUAUCUAAAGCAAUACCUAUAACAAGCGUUUUAGUGCAACCAUUCAAAUUAAAAUUGGAAAUGUUUGAGUGAAGUGAAGGGGCUACAAUAUUCUGUGUUGCCUGAAAAGAUGUUGUACUCAUUGUGGUGGACAACGUUUCUUUUUCACACUUUUGUAUGAACUGAGUGAAUGUGUUAACAACUCCACAGUGGAGGUUAAAACUAGUCGUUUUUUGUCAAGGUGUUUGCUUAAAUUAAUGAAAUUAAGAAAAAAUCCAGUGGCUGUUGACCAAUGGAGUGUAAACACUGGGAUAUGAAAAUUAUCCACUGAAGUGAUAUGAUUAAUGACCUAACCUGAAGUCCCUUAACAGUGUCUGGAGACUUUCAGUUAUUUAAUGAUUUAAAUACUGUAGGCAGUAUACUGUAUAUAUAAAUAUACUGUAAACACUCCAAUAAAGCAAUAAUAAAUAAUAUAAAUCAACAAUAAAUCUGUCGUUUAAUUAUUUAUUAUUUAUAUGGUUAUGCCGUUGUAAUGAUGUUUGCAAUAACCACUGCCUCAACAUCAGUUAUCCACCAGAACUGAGAGCAACUCUUGA